GAGGCAAUCGCUGCCGCUUUGGUAGAGGAAAGUCCAUGCUCACACUAUCUGUGAUGAUAGUAAUGAUUGCGCUGAUAUAAUAAAUAAAGUCAGGCAUAGACGGCGAUUACUAAUCCUAAGUAGAAAUAUAUGGAUGAGGAUCUUAAGGUGCAACAGUGACGAAGUUUAUUGGAAACAAUAAAGUGGAACGAUGUAAACCCCGCAAGUGAGAAACCCAAAUUUGGUAGGGGAACCCAAAGUUUUUCAAAUAAGAAGAAAACAGGGAGGCUUUAGCCUAGAUAAAUGAUUGCCCUUGAUUAAUCAAGACAGAACAUGGCUUACU
This 322-nucleotide RNase P RNA is filed under the name pig gut metagenome. RNAcentral's name for it is "Bacterial RNase P class B". It matches the Rfam family "Bacterial RNase P class B". Rfam says of the family: Ribonuclease P (RNase P) is a ubiquitous endoribonuclease, found in archaea, bacteria and eukarya as well as chloroplasts and mitochondria. The record is from RNAcentral.